GGGGUCAAAUUUUGGGAAAUUGGUUGGAGUUGCCCUUAUAGCUCAACUCUUUUACAAUCCUAUGUCUCCACGUACGGUGAGAGACAUCUUCUCCCGCUCCUCCAACUGACAAGACACGACUUCUUUUUUUUUUCCAAGAACAUGCUUCUAUUUUUUUUAAAAAAAAAUAAGACACGGCUUCCGUUCUAGUGAUAAGGAGGGGCGGAUCUAGGCCCUUUGCAUCUAUACCUUAACUCUAUUGUCUUUUUUUUUUUACUUUUAACUCUAUUGUUUUAGUAGAGUUGACUAUGACAUCAUUUCCUGCUAGCUUCCCUCAUGGAGUCAUGCAUAGUGCUAAGGUUCCGUGACAAAUGCAGUGGUAAAACUUGCUACACUACUACAGAUCUAUAGAUAUAUCAAUGCAGAGUCUAAAUUCAACAUCAUUGUCAGAGUCGGCGGAAGAUAAUUGGUAGUGGUGGGACUUGCCUAUCACCGCUGGUGGCGAACCCAGCAGUAAAAGGAACGUACCAUUAUCGGGUAGAGCUUUGACUCACCAAUGAUAGGUUGAGUCACGGCUAGAUGUAGACUCUACCUGGCUAAGUGUCGCUGACAUUUCUAUUAUAUGACAAUCUUUGGGUCUACACCCUUUGUCCUGUGAUAUAGUGUAUUUUAUAAAGUUAAAGAUAAUUUAAGAGAACAUAAAAGACGUUACUCCAGUUUUAUUUUCUAAUGAGGUUCUAUCAUCAACAUGAUCAAUUGUGAUUGGUUGAUAAAUGUGAACUAUUUAAUGCAAAUUGGGUUUUAUCCAACAGUGACAAAGACGAUACUCAGUGCCGGACAGUGACCACUAUUUUCUUUUUUUUCACAUAGUAUAUAUUUAUUAUUACAUUUAAAUAGAUUUAGUUUUAAAUAUGAUAUUAUUAAUGCAUCACAUAUAUCCACUACCAACAAGAUUAUACUAUAAUUAUGCAGCGUGGUUUGGUCAAUAGUGUAUAUAUUACAACUAUAACUACAAACUAGACAUUAGUACGGAAACAGUUUGUUUACCGCUUAAGUUCUUUUUCACU
Molecule: long non-coding RNA, 1046 nt
Filed under: Sorghum bicolor (sorghum)
Lineage: Eukaryota; Viridiplantae; Streptophyta; Magnoliopsida; Poales; Poaceae
Description: long non-coding RNA (SBIC_LNC005376)
Source: RNAcentral